RNAcentral lists this ribosomal RNA (332 nucleotides) under uncultured Clostridium sp. Its description in RNAcentral is "bacterial SSU rRNA". It matches the Rfam family "Bacterial small subunit ribosomal RNA", at positions 1008 to 1341 of the family's 1533-position model. Lineage: Bacteria; Bacillati; Bacillota; Clostridia; Eubacteriales; Clostridiaceae. The record is from RNAcentral.
GGGACCUUUCCUUCGGGACAGAGGAACAGGUGGUGCAUGGUUGUCGUCAGCUCGUGUCGUGAGAUGUUGGGUUAAGUCCCGCAACGAGCGCAACCCCUAUCUUUAGUAGCCAGCAGUUCGGCUGGGCACUCUAGAGAGACUGCCAGGGAUAACCUGGAGGAAGGCGGGAAUGACGUCAAAUCAUCAUGGCCCUUAUGAUCUGGGCUACACACUUGCUACAAUGGUGACUACAAAGAGAAGCAAAGCUGUGAAGUGGAGCCAAUCUCAAAAAGGUCAUCUCAGUUCGGAUUGUAGUCUGCAACUCGACUACAUGAAGCUGGAAUCGCUAGUAA